AGGACGAACGCUGGCGGCGUGCUUAACACAUGCAAGUCGAGCGGAAAGGCCCUUCGGGGUACUCGAGCGGCGAACGGGUGAGUAACACGUGAGUAAUCUGCCCCUAGCUCUGGGAUAGCUCCGGGAAACCGGGAUUAAUACCGGAUACGACCACUUUAGACAUCUGUUGUGGUGGAAAGAAUUUUGGCUAGGGAUGAGCUCGCGGCCUAUCAGCUUGUUGGUGGGGUAAUGGCCUACCAAGGCGACGACGGGUAGCCGGCCUGAGAGGGCGACCGGCCACACUGGGACUGAGACACGGCCCAGACUCCUACGGGAGGCAGCAGUGGGGAAUAUUGCGCAAUGGGCGAAAGCCUGACGCAGCGACGCCGCGUGGGGGAUGAAGGCCUUCGGGUUGUAAACCCCGUUUCAGCAGGGACGAAGCGAAAGUGACGGUACCUGCAGAAGAAGCGCCGGCUAACUACGUGCCAGCAGCCGC
This 475-nucleotide ribosomal RNA is filed under the name uncultured bacterium. Its description in RNAcentral is "SSU rRNA". It matches the Rfam family "Bacterial small subunit ribosomal RNA", at positions 26 to 518 of the family's 1533-position model. The record is from RNAcentral.